RNAcentral lists this transfer RNA (71 nucleotides) under Loxodonta africana (African savanna elephant). It matches the Rfam family "tRNA". From Rfam's summary of the family: Transfer RNA (tRNA) molecules are approximately 80 nucleotides in length. Their secondary structure includes four short double-helical elements and three loops (D, anti-codon, and T loops). Lineage: Eukaryota; Metazoa; Chordata; Mammalia; Proboscidea; Elephantidae. The record is from Rfam by way of RNAcentral.
GCAGUGGUGGUUCAAUGGUAGAAUUCUUGCCUUCCAAGCAAGUGACCUAGGUUCGAUUCCCUGCCAACGUA